CUUUCAUCUGAGGUCCAGGUCAGUCCAAGUAGAGAGAGAUUUCUGAAGGAAUCUCUUACAAGUUAUCAUUCAGUCUUUUUGAGGAAAUUCAUAUUGAACAACUUUGUUCUCUACAAUUAAAGAAGGAAAAAACCCUUUGACUACCUAACAACAGCCAUUUAAGUGAAUAAUAAUUGGGGUUUGGUAUUUGCUACUGUUAAAACAUGAUUUGCCUUGCUUAGAGCAUCUUAGGACAAAAGAGCCUGAAGGACUCUAGAGGGCAUUGCUUUAAUCCUUUCAUUUUACAGAUGAGAAAUCUGAGGCUUGUGAGGUUAAGUGAAUAAUUUGCCUGAGGACAUACCCAUAAAUUUAAUUUUACUGGACUUGCUAUCUAAAUGCUCUCAGAAAGAAUGGCUUAUGAUGAGCUCUUCUAAAACCACAAUUAUUUUAGUGUUUUGCAACAUGUAGCAGGUUCAUAGCUAAACACCCUCCUGGAAGGUCAAUUCGUUUCGAAGGGUUACAUUAUGAAACGAAUUUCUCCUGAGGCAUUCAUCAGGAAGUUACACGGAAUAAAGUUAGUGACUUUACGAGUGCAUAACUGAAAUAGUUUCAUAACCACAACCUGCAAUUGGUAGCAGAUGCUUUGAAAACUUUCAGGACAAAAUGACCACGGGCUUCAAUGUCUCCUUUUUCCAGGUAUGAACAUACUCUGGACUUUUCUGAGAAAAAUCUUUCUUCAAGUGCUCCUUUUUGCAGAGGGGUAGAGUGACUUUCUAUACAGAGUUCAGUUGAUUAAUUUUUGGUAAGAAUAAUUUCAACUCAUUUUCUAUGUGAUUGGUUCAAGUACAGAGACUUGCACUCCAUAUCCUCAUCAGAGAACUUAAUUUGAAACCUUCAGCUGCCAAACUCUUAUGAAAAGUUUGAUAAGGAGAAAUAUACAUGGAACUUUACCUGAAAGGCUGAUGGCAGCGGCAAUACACUGGCACGGGACGUCGAAUCGGGGCAAGAGCUCUGCCUCCGAGGUCCCUUCUGGAGCCUGGUGCUCGACCUCGUCUGCCGCGCCCCUGCAGACGGUUUGGCCGUUGAGCGGACCCCUGGCUUUGCUCCGUCUGCUGGAGUCAGAGGCGGACUCGCCACCCACGACCAGCGACGGAGCGAGACCUUCCGCGGUCUUCCCUUCGCACGUCUCUCCCGCGACGUGCUGCGCGUUUUCCUAACCGGGUAGGCUUUUUGGAAGAAGGGAGAGGAAGCAGGUACAGACAGCGGGGAAAGGGUAGCAGAGAGGCAGAGGAGAGCAGGGAGGAUGGAGCCCUUUCACGGGGGACACAGACCUAGAAAAGCUCAACGGUGAAGACAGCCCCGUCCUGACUUGAGACGACGGAUCCCGAUUUAACGUGACGUUUAGAUGUAACUAGCAAAACACUCCAUUCCUUGGCAAGCUGCUGUUUUGCAGACUCCAAGUCAGGGCUGAGCAAUGUCUAAGGUGGACCAAACCGAGUCCACAGGGAAGCAGUGCUGAGGGAUAGUCUGCAGUUGACUCUCAGAGACGGUGACACCGAUGUCCGAAAGGGGCGAAAGGGGCGUGUUUCUUCCCACGCAGGUAACGUCACCACGUGGGGGUCACGAAUAGACCUCUGGAGAAACCAGACUGCGGUCAGCAGCUGCGGGGGUUGCUGAAACUCAGCUUUCGCUGUGCUGGGAGUCCCUGUCCUCGAGCUCGGCUCAGUUAGCAAGUCACUGCAAUUCAAGGCAAUGAAUGCGACAGCUGAGUUACAUGCAUAUAUGUGACGAGGUAAUUCUGCCUGAGAAUCCAGAAUAUCUUUGCAGACGGAGCCUUUGACGGGAGGCUUAACAAGGGAGGGUCUUCGAGGAGAGCGGAAGGGAGGAACCUGUGCCCAAAAGAUGAGCAGGCAUCCAAGGGUGUGGUUGUUGGGACGACCUCCUGGCUCAUCUCGGACCACGUCCCCGCCUGGGAACAGGUGCAGAUGCGCGUCCUGAGCCCGAGUGCACCAGGCUUCCGGAAGAGCUGGAGGUGAGAGCAGCUCACCUUCUUUCGCCUCAUCACCAAUUUUCCUUCUCGCAAACAAGCUUCCUGUGUGGGCUUCCUCCCUUCCACCCUCUUAGGUUCUCUUACUACUCACUUAUUGGCUGAAUAAUUCGGAGUUAUAAUCAACAAAUUAGAGGCUAAUUUAAAUGUUUGGCUUCAUCCAAAGUUGA
This 2196-nucleotide long non-coding RNA is filed under the name Sus scrofa (pig). Its description in RNAcentral is "lncRNA (ENSSSCG00070015967.1)". Lineage: Eukaryota; Metazoa; Chordata; Mammalia; Artiodactyla; Suidae. The record is from RNAcentral.